RNAcentral lists this ribosomal RNA (515 nucleotides) under uncultured bacterium. RNAcentral's name for it is "partial 16S ribosomal RNA". It matches the Rfam family "Bacterial small subunit ribosomal RNA", at positions 28 to 523 of the family's 1533-position model. The record is from RNAcentral.
GAUGAACGCUGGCGGCGUGCCUAAUACAUGCAAGUCGAGCGAAUGGAUUAAGAGCUUGCUCUUAUGAAGUUAGCGGCGGACGGGUGAGUAACACGUGGGUAACCUGCCCAUAAGACUGGGAUAACUCCGGGAAACCGGGGCUAAUACUGGAUAACAUUUUGAACCGCAUGGUUCGAAAUUGAAAGGCGGCUUCGGCUGUCACUUAUUGAUGGACCCGCGUCGCAUUAGCUAGUUGGUGAGGUAACGGCUCACCAAGGCAACGAUGCGUAGCCGACCUGAGAGGGUGAUCGGCCACACUGGGACUGAGACACGGCCCAGGCUCCUACGGGAGGCAGCAGUAGGGAAUCUUCCGCAAUGGACGAAAGUCUGACGGAGCAACGCCGCGUGAGUGAUGAAGGCUUUCGGGUCGUAAAACUCUGUUGUUAGGGAAGAACAAGUGCUAGUUGAAUAAGCUGACACCUUGACGGUACCUAACCAGAAAGCCACGGCUAACUACGUGCCAGCCGCCGCCGUAA